GGGCCCGCACAAGCGGUGGAGCAUGUGGUUUAAUUCGAUGAUACGCGAGGAACCUUACCUAGGCUUAAAUGUAGAUUGACGUAUUGGGAAACCAGUAUUUCUUCGGACAAUCUACAAGGUGCUGCAUGGUUGUCGUCAGCUCGUGCCGUGAGGUGUCGGGUUAAGUCCCAUAACGAGCGCAACCCCUAUCAUUAGUUGCUAACAUUUAGUUGAGGACUCUAAUGAAACUGCCCGCGUAAGCGGUGAGGAAGGUGGGGAUGACGUCAAAUCAUCACGGCCCUUACGUCUAGGGCUACACACGUGCUACAAUGGUCGGUACAGAAAGCAGCCACUAUGCGAAUAGGAGCUAAUCUUUAAAAACCGAUCUCAGUUCGGAUCGCAGUCUGCAACUCGACUGCGUGAAGCUGGAAUCGCUAG
This 417-nucleotide ribosomal RNA is filed under the name uncultured bacterium. Its description in RNAcentral is "bacterial SSU rRNA". It matches the Rfam family "Bacterial small subunit ribosomal RNA", at positions 917 to 1338 of the family's 1533-position model. The record is from RNAcentral.